This 546-nucleotide ribosomal RNA is filed under the name Aureobasidium pullulans. RNAcentral's name for it is "partial large subunit ribosomal RNA". It matches the Rfam family "Eukaryotic large subunit ribosomal RNA", at positions 93 to 654 of the family's 3401-position model. The record is from RNAcentral. Lineage: Eukaryota; Fungi; Ascomycota; Dothideomycetes; Dothideales; Saccotheciaceae.
GUGAAGCGGCAACAGCUCAAAUUUGAAAGCUAGCCUUCGGGUUCGCAUUGUAAUUUGUAGAGGAUGAUUUGGGGAAGCCGCCUGUCUAAGUUCCUUGGAACAGGACGUCAUAGAGGGUGAGAAUCCCGUAUGUGACAGGAAAUGGCACCCUAUGUAAAUCUCCUUCGACGAGUCGAGUUGUUUGGGAAUGCAGCUCUAAAUGGGAGGUAAAUUUCUUCUAAAGCUAAAUAUUGGCGAGAGACCGAUAGCGCACAAGUAGAGUGAUCGAAAGAUGAAAAGCACUUUGGAAAGAGAGUUAAAAAGCACGUGAAAUUGUUGAAAGGGAAGCGCUUGCAAUCAGACUUGUUUAAACUGUUCGGCCGGUCUUCUGACCGGUUUACUCAGUUUGGACAGGCCAGCAUCAGUUUCGGCGGCCGGAUAAAGGCUCUGGGAAUGUGGCCUCCACUUCGGUGGAGGUGUUAUAGCCCAGGGUGUAAUACGGCCAGCCGGGACUGAGGUCCGCGCUUCGGCUAGGAUGCUGGCGUAAUGGUUGUAAGCGACCCGUCU